GACCUACCAGUCUGCCCUGCUCAUCCUUGAUCGGGAUGAGACUGAUACCCUGCGAAACGCAACAGAAUCAGCUCCUGGGAUUGUGUUAGCAGAAUGACGGGAGUGUGAGAUCCACCACAUGGCGAGGCACCCCAGGAACCUGUUUUCUUCUUGAAGAGCAACCGAGAACUAUUUCCAAGUUAUCCUUCACUUUGAGGACAACAUGGAGGUGUCUGAUUUCUGCUUGGGCUGAGGAUUCAGGAGAAGAUGUGUGGAACACAGCCUGGACACGCCCCAACCUGGUUGAUGAAUUCCACCCCAAGUAGUGGAAGAAACACACCUAGAACAUGAGCAGAGAAGAUUUUUCUUCUGUACUUUCCAGGACUUGAAGCUGCUUUGUUUUUUGGUUGCUGGGUGGGGAAGGAGGAACAAUAGUAUAGCUUCCAGAAGAGAGAAGAGAGUUAUCUCUUGAGUGUGAAUUAAGCAGUACCAAGAGGCCUCAAGCUAGCUCUCUCUCCUGCUUGAAAUUCUACUGUUAAGAGUUUUCCUUUAAGUUUAAAACCUUGAAAGCUCCAUGAUGCUCCUGAGUAGAACAAUAAAGCCAUUAGUAGUCAA
Molecule: long non-coding RNA, 594 nt
Filed under: Pongo abelii (Sumatran orangutan)
Lineage: Eukaryota; Metazoa; Chordata; Mammalia; Primates; Hominidae
Description: lincRNA
Source: RNAcentral